Molecule: long non-coding RNA, 2831 nt
Organism: Gallus gallus (chicken)
Lineage: Eukaryota; Metazoa; Chordata; Aves; Galliformes; Phasianidae
Source: Ensembl
CAACGAAUCUUUCAGCAAAGAUUCCAGACCUUCCUCAAGGGCUCAGUCCAGCCCGUCACAGGCAUCGCAAGGCACUCCAUCCCGGCUUCCACUUCUGGCAUGUGACUCAGUCAGACUUCUCAGGCGCAGGGCUAAGAAGAGCAGGCAGAAAGAACCUGAGGAGAUGGAAGCAUCAACAUCUCAGGCUGAGGCCAGCCAGCCGCAGGAGUCCUCUGCCGACAGAGCUGGAUUGCUGCCACCGAUAAACGAAGAAACACAGUCUCCUCAGCGUCAGCCUCCAAACACCAAAGCCCCACCGCGCAGGAAGGGCGCACCCUACCCACGCUGAUGCGGGCAUGGGGCGCCCAUGAGCUCCAAGAGCUCCACUCGAGCUGGCUGCAAAACAGAUGCGUGAAUCCCAUCUGCAUCAUAUCUAAUCCUACACCAGGCUGACCAGGGCCCCAACCAACCUGGCCUUCAACACUGCCACGGACGUGGCGUCCACAAGCUCUCUGGGCAUCCACUUCCAGCAUCACACCAUCGUCUCUGGAAAGACCUUCUCCCUGACAUCCAAUCUUCAUUGUCCCUCCCUCUGUCAAUAAAGCCUUACCAUGGGCCUAUCCCAUAGAAAUCUCCACAAUGCCUGUGGCAGUGUCAUUGCAUCUUUGGACGCCAGCUCUGGUGCUGGCGGAGGGAGAAAGAAUUGUGAGAGGGCAUCAGAACAUCUCACGAUGCUUUCCUUGAUGCCAAAGGAAAUCCAGCGUCUCACUUGGCUCGGCUGUCUGAGCUUUUCUGCUGAAGGGGAAGACCAAAAAUGAAGUCAGCUUCAAAUUGGUGCGGCAGCUCAGAGCUCUCAGAGGAUACCAGGGAUCCUUGGGAGGCCCUUUCCAAGUGGAAGAUUGCGUCCUAUAAAAAAAAUCACAGAAUCAUUGAAUCGUAGAAAUGCAUAGAAUCGUACAAUAACCACAGUGACCAUCAAGUUUCACUUCCCACCCCCCGCCCCGCUAUGUGCAGUAUUGCCAGCCACUAGACCAAAAUGCCCUGUGCCACAUCCAGCCUGGCCUUGAAUGCCUCCAGGGAUGGGGCAUCCACAACCUCCUUGGGCAACCUGUUCCAGUGCCUCACCAGUCUCUUGGGGAAAAACUUCAUUCUCAGAUCCAACUUAAACCUCCCCUGUCUCCCCUGAAGACCACUCCUGCAUGUCCUAUCACAACCCACCCUUGGAAACAGCCAUUCCCCCUCCUGCUUAGACGCUCCCUUUAAGUACUGGAAGGCCACCAGGAGGUCUCCAUGGAGCCUUCUCUUCUCCAAGCUAAACCAUCCCAGUUCCCUCCACCUUUCCUCAUACGAGAGGUGCUCCAGCCCUCUGACCAUCUUAGUGGCCCUCCUCUGGACCCACUCCAAAAACUUCCCGUCUUGCGGAGAAGAGAGAAUAAAGGUAAGGCAGACGCUGAGAAGGACAAGAGCAAAAGCAGAGAAGAACAGGCACAGGUAAGAAAGAAGAGCAGAAGAGGAGGAGAAGAAAAAAUGAGGAUGAAGGUAAGAAAAACAAGCGGGCAGGGAGAAGAGCUGAAGAAGGGAUGAGUGGGUGCAGGUAAGACCGAACAGCAGAAGUGGAGAGGAGCUGAAGAGGAGAAGUAUGAAAAGUAGAGCAAAAGUAGAGGAGGUGGAAAGAGAGGAAAGAGGCAAGAGAGAAGAGAGGAAGAGCAGAGAAAGAACAGAGCAGUAGAGAAGAGCGGACAGUGCUGUGAAAAGAAGAACAGUGCCAGAGAGCAGGUGAAGAAGAACAAAGAGCAGAAGAGGAGUGUAGAUGAAGAAGAGGUGUGAGGGCACAAGGAAGAAAGAUCAGAAGAGAAGAGGAGUGCAGUAAGAAGAAGGAGGAGAGAAGAUACGGGAAAAAGAACAGCAGAAGGGUGCAGAUGCGGAAGAUGAGAGAUGACACAGGGAACAACAAAGAGCAGAAGAGGAGAGCAGUCAGAAGAAAGACAAGUGAGAAUACGGGGGACAAAGCAAAGCAGAGAGGAGUGCAGAGGCAGAAGAAAGAGGAGAGAGGAUACAGAGAAGAAAGAUCAGCAAAUCUCGUAUAUUGUUUCAGCUGCGUGUACAUUUAUAGUGUGGAUAAUAGGCUCAUACCUAUUGCUAAAGUGGAGCUCAGGAUUGGCUCGCUAGUCAGUGUCAACUACGCCUAUCUUUGUGCUCUCAGCAAACACUCCCUUACAGACUUCAGAACACCAGGACUCUGUCUGAAAAAUCAGGAAAUACUCUACUUUUUCUGAAGCACAGAAAAUAAGAAGUUUAGGUAAGGAAAGAGGAGCAAUCAGCACCUCGAUGGUUCAGUUGCUUAAGCAGAUAGGAGCUGGUAACUACUGCUCCAGCACAGCCUCACUCCAGUUGCAGACAGCUCCCAUGUUGCCAUUCCAGCUGCUCGCUCUGCUCACAUUCCAGCUGGACAGGCCUUACUGCAGGCAGCCAUUGUGACACAUGCAGAAGGAUGACGGACCACAACAACACUGAGGCACACACUGUCCUGUGAGUCACACAGCACAUAAACACGGGGGAAAGAGGCUGAGACAGAGCCUGACUGUGUGCUGCUCAUCAGAGCAUGGAGUUAUUAAGACACUCAGCUCAGUAAGGGCACUGACUGAGGUAAAACAUACAGUUCCCACACCACAAAAAAUUGUCCUUGGCCUAAGAAUAAAUUCCAACACAAUCACAAAAUCAAUCUGUAAUCCCGGCCUUUGAAACAAACAAACCCGGAAUUCCAUAGAGCACAGAAUAUGGAAGGGACACAUAACGACCAUCCCGCGCAACUCCAGGCUCCGCACACCAACACCCGCACUCAGACCCGACGC